AGUGAACGCUGGCGGUAGGCCUAACACAUGCAAGUCGAACGGCAGCACAGUAAGAGCUUGCUCUUACGGGUGGCGAGUGGCGGACGGGUGAGGAAUACAUCGGAAUCUACUUUUUCGUGGGGGAUAACGUAGGGAAACUUACGCUAAUACCGCAUACGACCUACGGGUGAAAGCAGGGGAUCUUCGGACCUUGCGCGAUUGAAUGAGCCGAUGUCGGAUUAGCUAGUUGGCGGGGUAAAGGCCCACCAAGGCGACGAUCCGUAGCUGGUCUGAGAGGAUGAUCAGCCACACUGGAACUGAGAAACGGUCCAGACUCCUACGGGAGGCAGCAGUGGGGAAUAUUGGACAAUGGGCGCAAGCCUGAUCCAGCCAUACCGCGUGGGUGAAGAAGGCCUUCGGGUUGUAAAGCCCUUCUGUUGGGAAAGAAAAGCAGCAGGUUAAUACCCCGCUGUUCUGACGGUACCCAAAGAAUAAGCACCGGCUAACUUCGUG
This 492-nucleotide ribosomal RNA is filed under the name uncultured bacterium. RNAcentral's name for it is "partial 16S ribosomal RNA". It matches the Rfam family "Bacterial small subunit ribosomal RNA", at positions 29 to 507 of the family's 1533-position model. The record is from RNAcentral.